CGUGCCCCACCCCCAGUACUGCAGCCGUACCCGGGUGGGGGCAGGGCGCAGCGAGGACGAGCCUAGUCUUUCUGGUCGCCAGGUUUUGGGGGUCUCGCACGUGGGCUCUGGUCUUGCCCCGGAGGAGCCUCUCGCUGCCCCUCCUCCUUCCUUUCCUUCCUCUCCCCGUCAUUAAAAAUGAACACACCAUCCCUGCUAAUUAUCCAAUGCUGUAUCUUUAUGGAAACACGCUUUGGAGGUCACCAGAUGUAAUUGAAGCCAGAAUUAGGCAGGCAGGCGGUAGAGACAGGUAAACUGAGUCUGGUCGAUCAAGGAGGCUAAUUUUGAGAUCUUACCUGUAAAGUGCCUCCCUUGAGUCCUGGGAUGGACCCCAGGGCCUCCCUCCACCCCUGAGUCACCCCAGCCUCAAACUGCCCUGUUUUAGGCAUCGGCUUCCAAGAGAGGAAACCUUGUGACCCUGCGUGGGUUGGGAUGGCAACUGAAUAAUGACAAAGAAAGCUUAAGAGUGGAAUAUUACUGAGAUGCAGCUGGUUUCCCUUUGGACACGGUCUUGAUGCUUGCUCUGGAAUUGGAAAAUUUUAAAUAGAAUUUUAUCUCUGGAAGGAAGAAAACUGAGUCAGGUCACCACGAUUUACAGAUAGGGAUUUGGAAGCCUGGGGAGUUGAUGAUUUGCUUAAAAUUAGACACAAUUAGCUAGCAGAAGCUG
Non-coding RNA from Ictidomys tridecemlineatus (thirteen-lined ground squirrel), 706 nucleotides. NCBI's taxonomy places the organism in Eukaryota, Metazoa, Chordata, Mammalia, Rodentia, Sciuridae. The record is from RefSeq and is a predicted model, not a curated record.